UGCAGUCGAGGGGUAACAGGGGAGCUUGCUUCCGCUGACGACCGGCGCACGGGUGCGUAACGCGUAUACAAUCUACCUUUUGCUGUGGGAUAGCCUUUGGAAACGAAGAUUAAUACCGCAUAGUAUGCAGACUUCUCAUGAAGAUUGCAUUAAAGGUUACGGCAAAAGAUGAGUAUGCGUCCUAUUAGCUAGUUGGUGUGGUAACGGCACACCAAGGCCACGAUAGGUAGGGGCCCUGAGAGGGGGAUCCCCCACACUGGUACUGAGACACGGACCAGACUCCUACGGGAGGCAGCAGUGAGGAAUAUUGGACAAUGGAGGCAACUCUGAUCCAGCCAUGCCGCGUGCAGGAAGACUGCCCUAUGGGUUGUAAACUGCUUUUAUACGGGAAGAAACACUGCUACGUGUAGCAGCUUGACGGUACCGUAAGAAUAAGGAUCGGCUAACUCCGUGCCAGCAGCCGCGGUAAUACGGAGGAUCCAAGCGUUAUCCGGAAUCAUUGGGUUUAAAGGGUCCGUAGGUGGAUGAUUAAGUCAGAGGUGAAAGUCUGCAGCUCAACUGUAGAAUUGCCUUUGAUACUGGUUAUCUUGAAUUAUUAUGAAGUAGUUAGAAUAUGUAGUGUAGCGGUGAAAUGCAUAGAUAUUACAUAGAAUACCAAUUGCGAAGGCAGAUUACUAAUAAUCAAUUGACACUGAUGGACGAAAGCGUGGGGAGCGAACAGGAUUAGAUACCCUGGUAGUCCACGCCGUAAACGAUGGAUACUAGCUGUUCGGAUUUAUCUGAGUGGCUAAGCGAAAGUGAUAAGUAUCCCACCUGGGGAGUACGUUCGCAAGAAUGAAACUCAAAGGAAUUGACGGGGGCCCGCACAAGCGGUGGAGCAUGUGGUUUAAUUCGAUGAUACGCGAGGAACCUUACCAGGCUUAAAUGUAGAUUGACAGGUUUAGAGAUAGACUUUUCUUCGGACAUUUACAAGGUGCUGCAUGG
RNAcentral lists this ribosomal RNA (984 nucleotides) under Flaviramulus aestuariivivens. RNAcentral's name for it is "bacterial SSU rRNA". It matches the Rfam family "Bacterial small subunit ribosomal RNA", at positions 56 to 1048 of the family's 1533-position model. Lineage: Bacteria; Pseudomonadati; Bacteroidota; Flavobacteriia; Flavobacteriales; Flavobacteriaceae. The record is from RNAcentral.